GGAGGAAAAGAAACUAACAAGGAUUCCCCUAGUAACGGCGAGUGAAGCGGGAAGAGCUCAAAUUUGAAAUCUGGCAGUCUUCGAUUGUCCGAGUUGUAAUCUAUAGAGGCGUUUUCCGUGCCGGACCGUGUCCAAGUCUCCUGGAAAGGAGUAUCAAAGAGGGUGAUAAUCCCGUACUUAACACGACCACCGGUGCUCUGUGAUACGUCUUCUACGAGUCGAGUUGUUUGGGAAUGCAGCUCAAAAUGGGUGGUGAAUUCCAUCUAAAGCUAAAUAUUGGCGAGAGACCGAUAGCGAACAAGUACCGUGAGGGAAAGAUGAAAAGCACUUUGGAAAGAGAGUUAAACAGUACGUGAAAUUGUUGAAAGGGAAACGAUUGAAGUCAGUCGUGUUCUUUGGAUUCAGCCAGUUCUGCUGGUCUACUUCCUUGGAACGGGUCAACAUCAGUUUUGUCCGGUGGAUAAAGGUAGUAGGAAUGUGACUUCUCCGGAAGUGUUAUAGCCUAUUAUCACAUACACUGGGUGAGACUGAGGACUGCAGCUCGCCUUUAUGGCCGGCCUUCGGGCACGUUCGAGCUUAGGAUGUUGACAUAAUGGCUUUAAACGACCCGUCUUGAACACGG
RNAcentral lists this ribosomal RNA (622 nucleotides) under Trichosporon asahii. RNAcentral's name for it is "partial large subunit ribosomal RNA". It matches the Rfam family "Eukaryotic large subunit ribosomal RNA", at positions 52 to 664 of the family's 3401-position model. The record is from RNAcentral. Lineage: Eukaryota; Fungi; Basidiomycota; Tremellomycetes; Trichosporonales; Trichosporonaceae.